RNAcentral lists this ribosomal RNA (253 nucleotides) under uncultured bacterium. Its description in RNAcentral is "partial 16S ribosomal RNA". It matches the Rfam family "Bacterial small subunit ribosomal RNA", at positions 524 to 776 of the family's 1533-position model. The record is from RNAcentral.
UACGAAGGGGGCGAGCGUUGUUCGGAUUUACUGGGCGUAAAGGGCGCGCAGGCGGCUAUCCAAGUCAGGCGUGAAAGCCCCGGGCUUAACCUGGGAGGUGCGUCUGGGACUGGGUGGCUAGAGUUCGGGAGAGGAGAGUGGAAUUCCCAGUGUAGAGGUGAAAUUCGUAGAUAUUGGGAAGAACACCGGUGGCGAAGGCGGCUCUCUGGACCGAGACUGACGCUGAGGCGCGAAAGCUAGGGGAGCAAACAGG